This 254-nucleotide ribosomal RNA is filed under the name uncultured bacterium. RNAcentral's name for it is "partial 16S ribosomal RNA". It matches the Rfam family "Bacterial small subunit ribosomal RNA", at positions 524 to 776 of the family's 1533-position model. The record is from RNAcentral.
UACGUAGGGGGCUAGCGUUGUCCGGAUUUAUUGGGCGUAAAGAGCGUGUAGGCGGCCAUGUAGGUCCGGUGUGAAAACUCGAGGCUUAACCUCGAGAUGUCAUCGGAAACCAUUUGGCUAGAGUCCGGAAGAGGAGAGUGGAAUUCCUGGUGUAGCGGUGAAAUGCGCAGAUAUCAGGAGGAACACCAAUGGCGAAAGCAGCUCUCUGGGACGGUAACUGACGCUGAGACGCGAAAGCGUGGGUAGCAAACAGG